This 254-nucleotide ribosomal RNA is filed under the name uncultured bacterium. Its description in RNAcentral is "partial 16S ribosomal RNA". It matches the Rfam family "Bacterial small subunit ribosomal RNA", at positions 524 to 776 of the family's 1533-position model. The record is from RNAcentral.
UACAGAGGUCUCAAGCGUUGUUCGGAUUCAUUGGGCGUAAAGGGUGCGUAGGCGGCGCGGUAAGUCGGGUGUGAAAUCUCGGAGCUUAACUCCGAAACUGCAUUCGAUACUGCCGUGCUUGAGGACUGGAGAGGAGACUGGAAUUUACGGUGUAGCGGUGAAAUGCGUAGAUAUCGUAAGGAAGACCAGUGGCGAAGGCGGGGUCUCUGGACAGUUCCUGACGCUGAGGCACGAAGGUCAGGGGAGCAAACGGG